Podarcis muralis (Common wall lizard) is the source of this 633-nucleotide non-coding RNA. Lineage: Eukaryota; Metazoa; Chordata; Lepidosauria; Squamata; Lacertidae. The record is from RefSeq and is a predicted model, not a curated record.
UCUCCUCUCUCGCUCCUCAGCAAUUCAUAGGCCACGCCAGGCUGCCCAUCUCAUCCGGGUCCUUCGGUGGCGCAGCCGCAGUACGGCCUAGUGGGAGUGGCGGGCAGAGAGGAGGCCCCAGGCAGAGACGCUUAGUUUGGCAGCCGCGAGGAGGGUGGCGGUGGAAGGGCCUCAGGCUCCUGGGGGCUGAGGCUGUGACUGCUAAACAACACUCUCAGCCACCAACCUCAAGGAACCCACAAAACUAUUAACACCACUAGAACUGGUCUGUCCGCCUAGGGUUAUUGAUUUUUUUGGAUAGUGAAUCCAUUGGUGAAGUUGACCCAGCUCAGGAGCCCAGAUGAGAGAGCUACAACAAAGCCAAAAGACCAUUUUCGUGGUUUUGACUGACAAUAUCUGUUAUAUUAUAAUGACCUGACUUGCACUGACUGGAAACAUUGGAGUCUUUCCGCCUCAAAUCUUUUGCAGGUACAAACAGUACUGAAAGUGGGAUGGUGUCUAAUCAACAGAUAAGAGUGGGAUGGGGUGGCUGUCCAUCAACAGAUAGGGUGUCAUCACCUACUGAUGGCAACCUAAGCCAAAGCUCUGGACAAGCUGGGCGAGGGGGCGCAUAAAGAUGUUAAAAAGCAUUGG